This 711-nucleotide ribosomal RNA is filed under the name uncultured Bacilli bacterium. RNAcentral describes it as "bacterial SSU rRNA". It matches the Rfam family "Bacterial small subunit ribosomal RNA", at positions 47 to 725 of the family's 1533-position model. Lineage: Bacteria; Bacillati; Bacillota; Bacilli. The record is from RNAcentral.
CCUAAUACAUGCAAGUCGAGCGAGCGGAACCAACAGAUUUACUUCGGUAAUGACGUUGGGAAAGCGAGCGGCGGAUGGGUGAGUAACACGUGGGGAACCUGCCCCUAAGUCUGGGAUACCAUUUGGAAACAGGUGCUAAUACCGGAUAAUAAAGCAGAUCGCAUGAUCAGCUUUUGAAAGGCGGCGUAAGCUGUCGCUAAGGGAUGGCCCCGCGGUGCAUUAGCUAGUUGGUAAGGUAACGGCUUACCAAGGCGACGAUGCAUAGCCGAGUUGAGAGACUGAUCGGCCACAUUGGGACUGAGACACGGCCCAAACUCCUACGGGAGGCAGCAGUAGGGAAUCUUCCACAAUGGACGCAAGUCUGAUGGAGCAACGCCGCGUGAGUGAAGAAGGUUUUCGGAUCGUAAAGCUCUGUUGUUGGUGAAGAAGGAUAGAGGUAGUAACUGGCCUUUAUUUGACGGUAAUCAACCAGAAAGUCACGGCUAACUACGUGCCAGCAGCCGCGGUAAUACGUGGGUGGCAAGCGUUGUCCGGAUUUAUUGGGCGUAAAGCGAGCGCAGGCGGAAAAAUAAGUCUAAUGUGAAAGCCCUCGGCUUAACCGAGGAACUGCAUCGGAAACUGUUUUUCUUGAGUGCAGAAGAGGAGAGUGGAACUCCAUGUGUAGCGGUGGAAUGCGUAGAUAUAUGGAAGAACACCAGUGGCGAAGGCGGC